This 461-nucleotide ribosomal RNA is filed under the name uncultured bacterium. RNAcentral describes it as "partial 16S ribosomal RNA". It matches the Rfam family "Bacterial small subunit ribosomal RNA", at positions 338 to 795 of the family's 1533-position model. The record is from RNAcentral.
CCUACGGGGGGCAGCAGUGAGGAAUAUUGGUCAAUGGACGCAAGUCUGAACCAGCCAAGUAGCGUGCAGGAUGACGGCCCUCCGGGUUGUAGACUGCUUUUAGUUGGGAAUAAAAGGGGGCUCGUGAGCCCCGUAUUGUAUGUACCAUCAGAAAAAGGACCGGCUAAUUCCGUGCCAGCAGCCGCGGUAAUACGGAAGGUCCGGGCGUUAUCCGGAUUUAUUGGGUUUAAAGGGAGCGUAGGCCGGCUUUUAAGUCAGCGGUAAAAAUGCGGUGCUCAACGCCGUACAGCCGUUGAAACUGGCAGUCUUGAGUGGGCGAGAAGUAUGCGGAAUGCGUGGUGUAGCGGUGAAAGGCAUAGAUAUCACGCAGAACUCCGAUUGCGAAGGCAGCAUACCGGCGCCCGACUGACGCUGAGGCACGAAAGCGUGGGUAUCGAACAGGAUUAGAUACCCGGGUAGUC